RNAcentral lists this long non-coding RNA (37328 nucleotides) under Citrus maxima (pomelo). RNAcentral describes it as "long non-coding RNA (CMAX_LNC002824)". The record is from RNAcentral. Lineage: Eukaryota; Viridiplantae; Streptophyta; Magnoliopsida; Sapindales; Rutaceae.
UUGAUUUGCUAUCUUUUCCUUAAAUAUAAAUUUUUUGUACUAUUUAAUUAAAUUCAAUGGUCUACACAUUACUAAUGCAGUAAAAAGAAAAGAAAAAUUACAGCCCCAUGAAAGAGGAACCUAUGCUCCAAGUUGUGUAAGUGAAAAACAAGAAUGGGACAUAACAAAUCAUAUGCGCAAAUCAAACUUCAUACCAAACAUACCGACACAUGACGUAGGCCCAAAUUAUUAUCACAUCCCGAGUCAAAUCGGUAGCUCUACAUCCGACUCACUUUCGAUUUGCCCAUCGCCUUCGCCAUCUCUCUUAAUUCAAACUUCUUAAUCUUCCCCGUCGAAGUCUUCGGCAACUCCUCCUUGAACACCACCGUUUUAGGCACCAUGUAACGCGGCAACCUCGCUCUACAGUACUCAAUAAUCUCCUUCUCAGUUGGUUUCUUUUCCAAUUCAGCCUUCAAGCUCAAAAACGCACACGGGGUCUCCCCCCAGAACUCAUCAGGCCGAGCCACGACAGCCGCCUCGUUAACGGCCGGAUUCGUGUACAGCACCGAUUCAACCUCCACGCUGCUCAAAUUCUCUCCCCGCUUAUUAUCACAUCCUUUGAUCGAUCUUUAAUCUCUAAAUAACCGUCCGCGUGAAUCACGCCAACGUCUCCCGUGUAAAACCAACCAUCAUCCUUCAUGCACUUGCGGGUCCCGUUAGGGUCUUUGAGAUAACCAAGCAUCAUGCUUCCGCCUCUGAACACGAUUUCACCGAGCGAUGCCCCGUCGUGACUCACACUGAGUCCUGACUCGGAAUCUAUAACGUCUAUUUCGGUGAAGCAAACCGUCCUCACUCCUUGUCUCGAUUUCAUCCUCGCCCUCUCCGUCGCCGGUAACCUAUUCCACUUAUUUUUCCACGCACAUGACACGACAAGACCCGCAGUUUCCGUUAAACCAUACCCGUGGCUCACUAAGAAACCCAGUGACUCUGUUCUGAAAAGCACCGCCGCCGGUGGUGGAGCUCCGGCUGUCAAAAUAUGAACCGGGUUCCUCAACGGUUCGCUUCUGGGUAAAUUUGAUAUCAUGUUGAGCACAACUGGGGCUCCACACAUGUGUGUGACGCCGUGUUGUCGAAUCAUUAUAUAGAUAACGGCGGCGUCGAAUUUCCGUAAGCAAACGUUAGUCCCACCAACGGCCGCCAUCCCCCACGGGUAACUCCAGCCGUUAGCGUGAAACAUCGGUAGGGUCCACAAGUAUACCGGCUGUUUCGGAAUUGACCAAUCGAUUAAAGAAUCGACGGUCAUGACGAAAAUGCCACGGUGGCAAUGGACGACGCCUUUCGGAGACGACGUCGUACCGGAUGUGUAGUUUAAUAUCAUCGGGUCCCACUCGUUUUGUGGUCGGAUCCAUUUGAAAUUAGGAUCACCUUUUGUUACGAGGCUCUCGUAAGUGCAACAGAAGUUGGAAUCGACGGUCUGUGAUGAUUUGUUAUCAUUAUCGUGAUCAGUAUGAUCAGCGAUGAGGACUAACGGAGGGCAUUUGAUGUCGGACGGAAACAAAGAGAUUGCUUCGACGACAAGAUUCCGGGACUGAUAAUCUACAAGCACGAGCUUUGAUUCGCUGUGCUGCAGGAGUACGGAGAUUGUACGCGCGUCGAGGCGAGUGUUGAUGUUGUUGAGGAUGGCGCCAGUAAAAGGGAUAGCAAAGUGAGCCUCGUACAUGGCGGGGAUGUUGGGAGCGACAACGGACACAACGUGUCCUCUGGUGAUGCCGAUGGAUGAGAGGGAAGAAGCUAGCUGGAGACAUCGACGGUGAGUUUGUGACCACGUGUAGAUGAGGUUGUUGUAGAUGAUUGAGGGACAGUCGCCGUAAACGGUUGCUGCUCUUUCGAGGAAACCUAACGGCGUUAGUGGAGAUGAAUUUGCUGUGCAUGGUUUUAGCUCAUCCAUUUUAUUGUUUUUUUUUUUCCUCUCUUUUCUUUUUCUGUGUGUGCUGGAGAUGAUAAGGUUUGAGUAAGUUACUAGAAAGUUGGGAUAUAUCUCCCGCGUUCGGUGUCUGUCAAACGUAUGCGGCCAAACUUAGAAAUCUUAUAAAAGCAUAGAAAAAAAAUUAUUGGACACAAAUAUAUUAGAAAAGAGCAAAAUAAAUUAAUUCCAAGUUCUGUUGAGCAUGCGGAUUGAUAUCACUUAUCCUCUUGGGAAAUUGGAGGAUUAAUAAUUUCCUUCUGAGUGAAUGUAGCCAAUAGCCAACGGUGGAGAUUUAUCGCAUGAUUGGGAGGGUAGCGAACUGGUCACAUCAUUUUGUAAGAUGAUGUGUUUCCUUUGACUUUUAGACAGCUUGGACAGUGUUGCUUUUUGUAAAUUUUUUAAAUUUAUUUAUUAAUUUAUCCUUUCUAUUAAAUUAAUUUAUUAAUUUAUUAAUUUAUUUUUUAAAUUUAUUUAUUAAUUGAAUGGAUGUAGUUUACAUUAUCUCUUCAAAGAUUUGUGAGAUAAUUCUCGCUGAAGUAGAUAUGGCCAUACCUACUGGCUGCUGAAUCAAUGGGCAUGGCUUAAACUAAUCCGAAGGAUAGCCAGUUGGCUUUUCUCAAAGCGAUAGAUUCAUUUAGGAAGGGGUUAAUUUUGGAUUAUUCUCCACACUAUCUUAAAAUCACUCUUUUUAUUUUUAAAAAUUUUAAUUUAUCUCCUAUUUUGUUAAGAAGACAAAAAUAAAAAAAUCAUUAAUCUACCCACAUUUAUUCUCUUAUCUUUUGACUAAAUAUUAGGGUAAUUUAAGGUUUUCAAAAAAAAAUUAUUAAUAUGAAGAUAAUUAAUUUACGAAGAAAAUAAUCUCAAAUUUUCCUUUAGGAUUUGAGGAAGGGUGGGGAUGCAAUAGAACUAUAAAAAAAAAAAAAAAACUUUACUAGAAGAUAUUUUAUGAGGAGCUUUAUUGAAUAAAUGGAUAAGGUUAUAAUGACAAUUAUUUUGUCCAAACAAGAAUGUGAUUUUGACAAUGAAAAUUACAACUCUUAUCUUAUUGAUAAGACGUAAUCAGUAAGUAGAUAAUUACCUUAAAUAUAUAUAUACACACACACACACACACACACACAUAUAUAUAUAUAUAUAUAUAUAUAUAUAUAAUUGCUCAUUUACUUUUUAUAAUUUGAGUAAUUAUUCAUUUUGUCUUUAUAUUUUAAUAAAAUGACCUAAAAGGUCCAUAUUAUAUAUUUAUUUUCUUUACAAUGUAAUAACAAAGGUGUUUUAAGUUUUUUUCUUAAAACAUGAAUUGCAGGAAAUAAAUAAAUAAUUUUUUUUACCGUAGGUUCGUUUAUGGGAAAAUGACAUCCAUUUAUUUUUAAAAAUAACAUAAAAACACUUUAGUCUCUACAAACUUGUAAAGGGCCUGUUUAGAUGCGGUUAAAGACCGUGGCACUUUGUAUAUGAUUAUUUUAGUGAAAGUCAAUCCCAAUAUAAUAUUCCAUGCACAAAGUAAAUUAAGAUAACAUAGAUUGGCCCACAAGAUAAUCUUGUGAUAAUGACCUUGUAUGUUCUAAGGCUCUUAGGAUAAAUUUUUUAAACUAAAAAUUUUAUUUAUGUUAAAAACAGAGGACAAAAGGGUUAGAAGCACUAAAAAAUAACUUAAUUAUUUUUAUUUUUGAAAGGUAACUCUUCCAUAAUCUAUUAAUUCAAGUUAUUAUUUAUUAUUUAUAAUUUUUAUUAGUUUUAUUAGUUUUGGCCUUUUGGGGUCAAAUAUUAUGAUGAAGGCAAUUUGAGAUGUAAUAAAUUAUUAGGAAAAAUUAUAGAUCUCCCCCUUAUGUAUAGCGCAGAGAUACUUACACCCAAAUCCUGAGUAAUGUUAAAGAAAUAGAAAGAUAAAAGAAUUUUACUCUCUCUCUCUCUCUCUACCCAACCCACUCUCUCUCUUCUUUUUCAAUAUACUUUCUCUUAUCUUUCUGUCCCUUUAGCAUUUUUCUUAACUAAAAUGUUCAUAUUUCCCAUAACUAAUUUAAGUUUUUUUUUCGUAUUUACUAUAUUAAAAAAAAAAAAGUUAUUUCGUCUAUCAUCUUCUUAAUGACAUGAUUGCAAAUUUGGGUCCUCUACAACCUGAAACUCACCGUCUAAUAUUGGGUUCACAAUAUCCUCACCAUCUAAUUGUAAUUUGGGAGUUCCAAUAUCCUCACCAUCUAAUUGUGAUUUGGAAAUAUAAAAUGAGUAUCUGAUAAUUUGGUGUUUUGAAAUUUUUUAAGGCAAGCGUUCUUGGCCUCAUGAGGAGCGACACAGUGGAUUGAUAGUAAAUAGAUUGUACCACAGAUCUGAUUUUUGGCUAUCUAAUAUCAUCCGUCGAUUUUUGUAAAUUAUUGUCUCAUAAGCCCGUAAUCCUCCUCAUCAUCCAUAACAAUAAUGAAGGUGACGAGCAAUUAAGUGAAAGAAAAUAAAAGUUUGAAUUCUUGAAAUGUUGCAGUCCAAGUAGAAGUGUUUUCUUUUGCUUUAUCUUUAUAAUUGAUUCCAAAAGUAUAUUUUUUUAAUUUAUUUAUUAUAUAGUAUUUUAAUUUAAUGUACUUUUAUUAUACUAUCCUUUUUUUUCUUUAACGAAAUGGAGCCGUAUGUUAAUAUGAGGGGAUAAACGUGAUAUUUUGGUGUCAAAGAAUAAAUAUGCAUUUCCAUAUCACUCAGCCCUCUAGCUCUGAAUUUGUUUGAUUUCGAUAGCAAAAAAAAAAAAAAAAAAAAAAAGAGGAAAAAAAGCAAACAAAUCGUUUGCUAUGAUUGGUGAUGGUGGUCAGAUAAAGUUUGAGAUAAGAGAUAAUGUUUGCAAUCUGCAUAAAUUCCAUCCGGUCCUUCUCUUCUUUGCAUUAGUUUUAACUUUAUUUUUUUAUAUUUAUUGUGGAUCAUUUGGAAGAGAGAAAGAAGAACACGAAUGUGUUGCCGUUUUUGUCGUGGUUCUCUCGUCCUUUUGGGCAUUUACCAUUUUCCUUGAUUAAAUAAUCGAUGGCCGAAUAGAAAACGGCAGGCAAUUUUUGUGAAUUACACAGAAAAUUUAUGAAGCUGUGUUUUGCAUAUUGUUUGGUGAAUUUAUCGUGCAAGUAUGUUGUAUGUGUGAAUUGUCCAAAACACGUUUUGCAUAUUGUUUGGUGAAUUUAUCGUGCAAGUAUGUUGUAUGUGUGAAUUGUCCAAAAUAGGCACGUUAUAAUUACAAUACUACAUAAUUAUUAUUCACUUUCCAAAUUUAGCAAAGAAUACUAUUUAAUAAUUAAUUAAAAUGAAUUAUUUUUAUUUAUAUUGCAUAAUAAUUAACAUGCAAAGCAAUAUUAUUUUAUAAGUAAAAAAAGAAAAAAAAAACCGGUGAUUUUAAUGAAAACCCAGUAGUUUUGUUUCAUAAAGUGAACACGUGGCAUGCAUUCAUUGACUUCCUGUGAAAUCAGUAUGAACCAUAAAUGGAGAAGAUCCUCGGAUUUAAUAGGUCCAGUGCAGCUGUGCGACAUUGCAAUUCGAUUGACAGUAAGUCCGGUGGAAUUUAAUUGAGGUGCUCGAGAGAAUUGAUCAGCUGGAUUAGUUCUUCCAUCUAAUGCUGUUUGUAAUAAGGAGCCCUCUACGUUACGUUACGUUAGUCGUACCGUAGCACUGGUCUUGUAACAAACUAAUAAAGCAAUGGUCGACUUUUGUUGUUAAGAAAUAAGUUCAUACCUAGAGCAUUAAAUCGAAGAGUAUAUAUUGCAAAAUGCAAAGUUCCACAGACAGACUUCAUCCACCAAAAUUUAGAGUCAGUUUGAGAUUGUCUUUUAAAUGUUCAAAAGUGAUUUAUUUUGAAGAAAAAAAAAAAGAAAGUAAUUUUUGAAUGUAUGAUUUUGAGAUUAUUUUUAAACUGAAUAUAAUUUUAUAUAUAUCUUUAUAUAUAUUAUAAAAAUCUAAAAUUAACCUCAUUAAUUAGGAAAUAAGAUCAUUAAUUUUAAAGAGAUUACUAUUAUUAGUAAUUAUAUUGAAAUAAUAAAAUAAAAAAUAAAAUUAAUAAAAUAAAAAAUUUAUUUUAAUUAUCAAUUAUUAUAUAUACACAAUUAAAAAUAUUUUAUACGUAAAUAAAUUUUGUUCAAUAUUAUAUCUAAUUCAGUUAUUUAUAUUUUUACAACAGUUUAACGGCACACACGAUUGCUUUUCAAAACUGACAGCACUUUUAAAAAUAAAUUUUAUCAAACCUUUGACUAAUUUUUUUCACAAUUAAUUAUUUCUAUAACACAAUAUUUUAAAAGUUACAACUCUUAAUCCUACAGCAAUGGCUAACCUUUUGGAAGUCAGUCUUUGGAGUCAAUUCCAUCACAGGCCUCUGGUAAUUGAGAUAUAGCCAUUUGAUCAUUUUGUAGCAGCUACAAGAUACGACCAUCACAGGCCCGUCAAGGAGUUGUUGCCAUUUUAAUUUUCCUUCAGCCUGUCAUCAGGACUAUGUAUUCGAAGUAAAACUCAUCUCCGGUGUCGAGGUUUGUGAAGAUUGAUUUGAGUUGGUGGUUGUUUGAUUUGAAGUUGUGGUACUCGAACUCACCAUAUUUGGCUCGACACCAUGAAAGAAGCUAAGAAAAUGUUGUUUGGCUUAAAGGAAAAAAAUUCACAGGAAAAUGUAACUGUGAAUUCCAGAAGAUUCAUUUCUACUACAAUCUGUUACAUCCACAUAUUUAUGUAUGCUUACACGUGAUUAACAACCUGUAACUAACUCAAUUGUUCAACUAAUAAGCUAGCUAUAUUUGUUACAUACAAUUAUGCAUGGAGUAAUAAUAUAACACAAAUUCUUGUACAAAUUUAUUUUGUACAAACUGAUAUGGCGUUAAUUUAUUGGUUGAAUUAAAUAUCUCUUAGCCCACAUGAUUUAUUUAUAUUAUUUUAUAUUUUUAUUCAACCAAUGAAUUAAUGCCACAUCAAUUUGUAUAAGAGUUUGUGGCUGUAUCAUCACUCUUAUGCAUGUUAUAACAACUUUUUAACAAACUAUGCUUGAGUUGUCAUUCCCUUUUAACAACCUCUGCUGAUUUUGCAUUGCUGAGCUGUUUAAGCUUUGCUUCUUUUAGCCUCUGUGGCUUCUGUGUAAUGAGCUGCUUUAACUCUAAGUAACGUCAUAUCAGUUCAAUAAAAGUAGAAAUUGGGGAAGCCAUUUGUAUCACUGGAUAGAAAUUAACUUUUGAGAGAGAGGAAGGUAGUCGAGGUUUAAGGCGUUUGGAUAUUUUAGGCAAGAGAGUGUUGUAAACUGUUUGGGAUGUGGUUAAUGGCGAUAAGGAGAGCUCUCUUUUCUUGAAACCUCGAUAUUCUUUCACGGACAGCAGCAAAGGUUUUUCCGAAAUUUUCCCUUUGACAUGGCUUCAAAAUGGUGCUCCUGACUUGCUUUUCGGUUCUAAAUGGAUAAUUGAUCAGGGCUCAGAAAUGAAGCUAAGUUUUGAUAUAAUUACAUAUGCAAAGUUAAAAAUUGCUUAUGUAUGGCAAGAAAGCAUAAAUCACAAAUCUUUCAUUAAUGGUGAAAACUUGAAUGACAAAAUACAAGCUCACGUUUGUUUAUAUACAGAAGAGACAAGAGAAACAGCUAGCACAGGGGUAGCAGAGUAAAAGGCCAAAUAACCAUUUCUCAAACUCAGCCAAUUACAUUUAGCUUCUAGAAACGUGAUUUCUGCAUGCAUAUGUACUGGGAAUCUUCUGCAUAUCCAUUUUGCCAGCUGAGCAAAUCCAUCUCAUCUUCAACAUUCUCAUAUUGCAAUUGACUGCAGCUGAGGUGGUAUGCCAGCUUGUCAUUUGAGUCAGCUGCUAGCUUUUCACAGUCACUGAUUUCAACACCCUCUCUCAAACACAAGGUCCUGUCAGUGACAUUGAGUUUGCUUCUGAAAUGGUUGAGUUUGUAAUGUGGAAGUGGCUUAGUUAAAACAUCUGCAGUUUGGUCCUUGCUGGCAAUGUAGCUUAUUUCUAUUUCGCCUUUUAUAACUUUGUCUCUGAUGAAAUGUAGAUCAAUUUCGAAAUGCUUGGUUUUCGAGUGAUAUACAGGAUUAGCAGCUAUAGCUGCUGCACUAGUACUGUCACUUAGAAUCACAGGAACACCUUCAACCUUUAAUUUUAGCUCACUGAGCAAUGAAUUGAUCCAAGUAAUUUCGGCACUACAUAGAGCCAUAGCUCUGUAUUCAGACUCUGCAGUGGAUCUAGCAACUACACCUUGUUUCCUUGAGCUCCAAGCCACCAAGUUAUUUCCCAAGUAUACACAGUAACCACUGAUUGACCUCCUGUCAUCAGGAUCACUUGCCCAAUCUGCAUCAGUAUAGGCAGUUAUGUCAAGGUGUUCUGAUUUUCUGAAUCUUAAGCACAUGUUCAUUGUGCUCUUGAGGUAUCUCAGUAUCCUUUUGCAUGCAAUCCAAUGUGGCUGUCUAGGAUCAGACAUGUACUGGCUGAGUUUGUUAACAGAGAAAGCCAGCUCAGGUCUUGUAAGCACUGCAUAUUGUAGGCUUCCUAUGACACUUCUGUAGAGUGUAGGGUCAUGAAAUCUUGCUCCUUCACCUCUUCUUAACUUCUCAGAGGUACUGAAGGGAGUCUCUAUUCCUUUGCAGCCUGCCAUUUCUGUUCUGGUUAGCAGAUCUUGAAUAUACUUUGUUUGAGAGAGUUGAAUGGUAUCAUGGAUUCUAGCCACUUGUAUCCCGAGAAAGAAGUUCAAAUCACCAAGGUCCUUUAAGGCAAAGGUUUUGCUUAGUUUCACUACCACUUCUUCAAUAUCUUUACAAUUGCUUCCAGUGAUUAUUAUGUCAUCAACAUAGAUGAGCAUAAUAAUUAUGUCUGACUCUGUUCUUCUGAAAAAUAGUGAUGUGUCACACUUGGAAUUUUCAAAAUUCCAGGAGUGUAGAGCACCCUUCAGUUUAUCGAACCAAGCUCUGGGAGCUUGUCUUAGUCCAUACAGUGCCUUGUUCAGCUUGCAUAUGUGGUUUGGUUUAUUCUUAUCUUCAAAACCCUCAGGUUGUGGCAUAAAUACUGUUUCUGUCAGCUCACCAUUCAAGAAUGCAUUGUUGAUAUCUACUUGCCUCAGCUUCCAAUCGUUAUUUACAGCCAGAGUCAAAACAAUUCUGAUUGUUGCAGCCUUAACCACAGGACUAAAGGUUUCUUUGAAAUCAACACCUGGUGUUUGUAGAAAUCCCUUUGCAACCAGUCUGGCUUUGAACUUGUUAAUGGUGCCAUCUGGAUUCUCUUUGACUCUGUACACCCAUUUGUUUCCAACUAACUUGUAGUUUUGGCUGUUAGGUAUCAAGGUCCAGGUUUUGUUUUUCAUCAAGGCAUUGUAUUCAUCUUCCAUUGCUCUUCUCCACUUGGGUUCAUUUAAGGCUUCAGGGGUAUUGUUUGGAAGAGAGGACUGCAGUUGGGCAGAUGUCUGAAAUAGCUUUGGUUUGAAAAUUCCUGCUUUAGAUCUUGUUGUCAUAGGGUGUGAUGGACAGGUUUUUUGUUUACUAAUGUCUUGAGUAUUUGGUUCUGUGGUUGGUGAUGAAUUGUGGCUGUCUUCUGGAAUGAGUGAUGAGGAUUGGUGAGAUAAGUGUUUACCUGAUGAAAUGUCAGUCUCCAAGGUCUGUUGUGCUUCAUCUUGAACAAGAUUUUGGGUGUGAUCCAAAAUUCCAGCAGUGUCUUGAGAGUGGCUGUAUAUAGUUGCUGGUUGUGUGAGAUUGUGAAGGUCACUCACAGGGAAGGAUACAACUUGGAAACUUUCAGAAAGAGUGUUAAAGUCUCUUUUACUCAUGGACUCCUUUUUGUUGAAGGUUGGAUCAUUUGAGAAGGGAAAUGACCUUUCAUUGAACCUGACACUAGCUGAAAUGUAGAUCCUACCAGACUGACUCAUGCAUACAUAUCCUUUAUGUGCAAUGCUUACUCCUAGCAACACACAUUUGGAGGUAUGAAAAUCAAAUUUAUGUUUGUUAUAGGGUCUUAGGUAAGGAAAACACUCACAUCCAAAGACUCUGACUUGAGAGUAGUCUGGUUUGAGAGAGUACAACAAUUCAAAUGGUGUUUUGUUCUCUGUUGUAGGUGAUACCAGUCUGUUGAUGGUAAAAACAGCAUGUGUGAAGGCUUCUUGCCAGUAUUUCAAUGGCAUUUUGGCUUGAGCUAGCAAUGUAAGGCCAGUUUCCACAAUGUGCCUAUGUUUUCUUUCAAUUUUGCCAUUUUGUUCAUGCAAGUAAGGGCAAGAGUGUCUUAGAGUUAUUCCCUCUCUUUUCAGAUACGGUUCAAAGAUUCUAAAUUCUCCCCCCAUGUCUGUUUGUAGUGUUUUGAUUUUCAGGUUCAGUUGGUUCUCUAUUUGUUUUUUGAAUGUGAUGAAUGUGUCAAGGGCCUGAGACUUUGUUGUUAUGGGAAAUAGCCAUGUGUAUCUGGUUUUAUCAUCAACAAAGGAUAUGUAAUAUCUGUGUCCUUUGGUUGAGGGGAUUGGUGCUGGUCCCCAUAGGUCUGUGUGGAUUAGUUCCAAUGCUGUUUUAGUUUUGGUUUCAGUGUUCUUAAAUUGGUGCUUUGAUUGCUUUCCAUAUUGACAUGCACUACAGAAUGAAGGAAUGGCAUUUUUAUUUCUUCUCAAUUGAUUACAGGACAGCAGGGUAUUUUUCAAAGCAAUAACAUUGGGAUGUCCUAGUCUAAGGUGCCAAAGGUCAAUCUCCUCUGUAGCUUUUAAAAUGCUGCCACCUGACUCACCAGCUAUACUAGACUCAUUAACAAUAGCAGACUCAACACCAUUUGAACUGAAGGAUAACAUGGACACAGGAUCACUAAUGGAUCUUAUUGACUCAGACACUGAAAAUGCAGAUAGACAGGUAACAUUUGAAGUUUUGCUUUUGCCCAAGUGAGCAGGUAAGCACAGCAGUUCAUACAGCCCAUCUCUAGCCACUCCUUUCAUCAGGAUUUUCCCUUGCUUCUUGUCCUUGACAAAACAAACAGAUUUGUGAAACUCGACAUUAAUUUCAUUAUCAAGUAAUAAUCUGGAAAUGCUGAUAAGAUUUUUGGUGAUGUCAGGAACAUAUAGGAUGCUGUUUAGUGCAAUGUUUUUGUAUGGUUCAUAAGUGGGCAGAACAGAGCAGCCAAUAUGGGAAAUUAAGAGUUUCUUACCAUUUCCAACAGCAAGUUGGUCGUUACCUUGAUACUCUGAGCUCAUGCUGAUAUUUCCAAGUGCAUUUGUGACAUGGUUGGUGGCACCACUGUCAAGGUACCAAGCUCCACUGUUUUGACCAUCAGUUGAGGCUACAUAUGCACCUCUUGUCUCUCUUCUUCUGUGUGGCUGUGGCAUAAAGUUCUUCUUGAACCUGUGCCAGCACUCAGCAGCUGUAUGUCCCAUCUUCAAGCAAAUUUGACAUGGUCCUUUUGAGUCUGAACUGUCAUUAUUUGCUACAGCUUUGCCCUUUCCCUUAUCGUGAGGGUUUUGACCUCCUUGGUUGUUUCCAGCUCCAUUUCCAGGGUUUCUGAAGACUACUCCAGGUUGAUACUGGUUUCCAGAUCUGUCAUUGUUACCCCAGCUUCUUCUCCCAUUUCUCAUUUGUGUGUAGUUGGCCUCAAUAGCUCCUGAGCUCAAGUUAUGCUCAGUUCUAUUCUCUUGGCUGAGCAGCAUGCCGUAUACUUCAGAGAUUGAGGGGCUCUCUGGCAUGGAAUUGAUACUGGUGACUAUGGAGUCAUAUUCUGGUCCUAGCCCUGCCAGCACACACAUGACAAAGUCAUCAUCAGUCAUGUUAUUCCCUACAGCUCUAAGUUGGUUCAACAUUGAUUUCAUUUUGGAGUAAUAAUCAUGAAUGGUUAGGGAGCCCUUUUUGGUUGUUUGAAUUUGAGUUCUAAGGUGCAGUAUUCUAGCUCUAGUUCUGGCACCAAACUGAUUUGCAAGUGCUGUCCAGACCUCACACGAGGUAUAGCAAUCAACUACUGUACCCAACACUCCCUCACUCAAUGAUGACAGUAACCAACUCAGCAAAAUAUGAUCUUGUUUUUGCCAGAUUUGAUACUCAUGGUUAAGUGUGUUUAUGGUGGUUCCAUUUGGUCCUGGAUUUGUGAAAAACCUAGGUGGGCAACUGUGGCUACCAUCAACAAAACCUUCAAGCUCAUUAGCCCUGAUGCUGGAAAUCACUUGUGAUCUCCAGAGCAUAAAAUUGUUUUGAGUGAGCUUGAUAGGAGUUGUGAAGAUGUAUGUGUUGCUGGUGAUAUUUUGUGUGGGAGAUUGAUUAAUUACUGCUGAGUUUAUGGCAUUUUGCCCUGAUUCUCUAUUUUGAUUUAAGUUUUCUUCUUGAUCAUUUGGGUUUAUUUGUGAUUGAUUUGCAUUACUGCUACUGCUUGCCAUAGCUCAAACUUAGCUCUGAUACCAAGUUAAAAAUUGCUUAUGUAUGGCAAGAAAGCAUAAAUCACAAAUCUUUCAUUAAUGGUGAAAACUUGAAUGACAAAAUACAAGCUCACGUUUGUUUAUAUACAGAAGAGACAAGAGAAACAGCUAGCACAGGGGUAGCAGAGUAAAAGGCCAAAUAACCAUUUCUCAAACUCAGCCAAUUACAUUUAGCUUCUAGAAACGUGAUUUCUGCAUGCAUAUGUACUGGGAAUCUUCUGCAUAUCCAUUUUGCCAGCUGAGCAAAUCCAUCUCAUCUUCAACAUUCUCAUAUUGCAAUUGACUGCAGCUGAGGUGGUAUGCCAGCUUGUCAUUUGAGUCAGCUGCUAGCUUUUCACAGUCACUGAUUUCAACAUGCAAAAUUUUAUUGGUGCAUGCAAAAUUGUUUUUUUUUUUUUUAGUUUCUAUGUAAACUAUAGGAUACUUUCUAUUUAGAUAGCACAACUUAUAUAUACUACACCAUUGGAUCCUCACCAUUUCUCAUUCAUUCAUUUAGCUGACCUGGUAUAAGUAAGGGUAUGUUUGGAAUUGAGGUGCUGUAUCUUUUAAGGUACAACUGCUGUGGAAAAAAAACUGUAACUAUGAAAUAAAAGUUAGUAAUAUAAGUAAAUAUAAAUUUUAAAUAAUAAUUUUGAUGAAAUUAUUAAAGAUAUAAUAUAUUUUUCAUUAUACAAGUGAAAAAUUAUAUCAAUAUAUUUUUCAAACUACAGCAGCAAGUAUUUACCAAACAUUUUACUUAGUACUGUAACUUUUAAGUUACAGCUGUCCAACCUUAAUCCUAAACGCACCCUAAAUCAGUAAUAUUUAAUUUGGUUAAAAUAGUACUGAUUACGUCAUUUAAGUUUCAGAUAAUGUAAAUCAGUAAUAUUUAAUUUGGUUAAAAUAGUACUGAUUACGUCAUUUAAGUUUCAGAUAAUGUAGAAUAUCGCAUGCUACUAAUAGAUUCUCUAACGACCCUCCAACUCUGUGAAAGUACUUGCAUUAGUUGAAGAUGAUUCAGGCUUGCUUGAUGAAGAAUCUGGUCCGGUUGAUUUUCUGUCCACCAAGAACCCAGGUUGCUUUGGCUGUGGCAACACGCUGUCACUGCCCAACAUCAAAAUCACUGAGGGCAUGCUUGGCCUGUCCUCUGGAUGGUGUUGCACGCAUAAUAGGCUAAUGUGGAUGCAUCGUAUCACCUCAUCGGGAUUGCAUGAUUCUUGAUAACACGCAUCGAUCAGUUGCCAAGGCAUGCCUUUGUUCCACAAAUUCCAUGCCUACAAACAUAUGAAAACCCUUUUGUCAUUUGCGAUUUAUUAGUUUAGACUAUGUAUAUAUGCAUUUUACUUACAUGUCUUAUAACGUUAAACUUGUUAUCUGAAUUAUAAAGUCCUCUAUUCCUCUUUCCACUUACUAUCUCCAGCACUAAAAUGCCAAAGCUGAAGACAUCAGAUUUUACUGAGAAUAGUCCAUCGGUAGCAUAUUCUGGUGCCAUAUAACCACUGCAGAUGUUUAGAAAAUGUAAAUUCUCGUUGAUCAGUGGAAAUGAAUCACAAAGAGGACAAAAUAGGAAACACUUACUAUGUUCCAAUUACUCUAUUUGUACUUCCUUCUAUCUCGUCUCCACCAAAAGUUCUGGCCAAACCAAAAUCUGAAAUUUUGGGGUUCAUAUCAUGAUCAAGUAACACAUUACUGGUUUUGAGAUCUCGAUGUAUAAUCCUCAAUCUAGAAUCUUGAUGAAGGUAGAGAAGACCCCUAGCAGUCCCGCAAAUAAUACGGAAACGCAUAGACCAAUCCAAUAGCUCACGUUUUGUUUGAUCUAGAGAGAAUCAUAUUAAGGUUAAUACAAUUCCCAGCUUGGAUUUAUUUUGAAAAAAAAAAAAACACAAGGUCUGUUGAUAAAUCAGAAGAAGCGUAUAUAAUGAAAGCACAAGCUAACUGAAGCUUUUAAGGUUUUGAAUUUAGUGGGAUCCAUACCAAAAAUGAAAUAGUCCAGGCUUUUGUUCGGCAUGAAUUCAUAAAUCAACAAUUUCUCUUCUCCUUGAAUGCAGCAGCCAAGAAGCUUUACAAGAUUUCGGUGCUGUAACUUGGAAAACAAUAUAACUUCAUUCUUCAACUCGUUCAAUCCUUGCUCCGAAAUCUUCGAAAGCCUUUUCACGGCAAUUUCCUGUCCAUCCACUAGUGUGCCCUGAUAAAAUAUACAUGAAAGAAGUUAGUUACCGAGUAAUAUAUAUAUGUAACGGACUUAGAAUCAUUUCACUAGCAACUUUCAAGUUCACCUUGUAUACACGUCCAAAGCCACCUUCUCCAAGCUUGUUGUUGAUGGAAAAGUUAUCGGUGGCAUUAGCAAUUGUAGCUAACUCAAACAGUGGCAGCUCCAGGUCUUCGAUUUGAUCUUGAUUUUCUUGAUCAACUCUCCUCCUGUAUCCUGUUUUCUCCCAAAUAAUGCACAAUAUUAACUGAAAGCAACGUAUGCAGUAUGGAUACUGGACUAUCUUAAACUUUUAAUUUCCAAUUUCUUGUUCUUGAUGAGAAGGUUCUUUAUCCGGAAAACAGUAUUAAACCAAUUUAAUUCAUCCAAUAUGUAGUAAAUACAUAUAAGUAAACCUCUUAUUCCUACCAAGAAUUUAAAGUUUCAAUUACCUUGCCCCAGUUCUAAAUGAAAUGCAUUCUUAAUUCUAGGCAAUAUACAGUUGUUGGUGUAUACAGACAACUCUCUACUUGGUAAAUAAUUUUAUUGAAGACUGUCAGUGGAAAAUCAAACUCUUACAAAUAUUGAUUGAAAGCAAACCGCAGAAUAAAAAUACAAACAAAUGAAAAUAAAAUUUCGAAUGCAAAUAAAACAAUUUCAUCGCUACUCCUGCUUUCCAAAACGAAACAGCCCUCUAUAGGCUAACACCGCAGCAGUAGAAAUCAUGACCAUCAAAAUUUUCAUAAAAAAUUAAAAAGGUCAGAGGAAUAUGUUAAAUUUUAAGGAGUACUUCUCAUUAGUUUUGGCUGCACAUAGACAAAUAAGGAUAGGCUUCUUCGUCCAUAACUUCUCACCGAGAGAGUUUUCAAUAUAUAUAUAUAUAUAUGAGGUCUACAAUGUAUAUCGACUAAGAGUUUGUUUGGGAUUGAGGUGUUGUACCUUUUAAGCUACAGCUGUUGUGAAAAAAAAAUUAUAAUUGUCAAAUAAAAGUUAAUAAUAUAUAGUAAAUAUAAUUUUUUAAUAAUAAUUUUGACAAAAUUAUUAAAGAUAUAAUAAAUUUUUCAUCAUACAAGUGAAAAAUCAUAUUAAGAUAGCUUCAAAACUACAGCAGUUAGUGUUUAUCAAACAUUUUAGUGUUGUAGCUUUUAAGCUACAGCUGCCCAAUCUCAAUCUCGAACGUACCCUAAAUUUAGCAAUCACUUGGUUUUGGUUGUUUCUUUAACAAAUAUUAGGCGAAACUAUUAAAUAUAUAAUAAAAAUUAACACGGUCAGGGGAAUAUGUUACCUUUGUUCUUUGCUUUCUUCCGUGCCAUGAAGAGUAGGAGGCACAAGAUAAACAUGCCGGAAAUGAUUGAAAUUGCCACUAUGAUCUUUAAUCUUUUCUUUUUAUUCGAGUGCUUACUUGAUUCUUGACUUGAUUCUAGAACAUAAAACAUCAAGAAAAGAGAUCACUUUAUUGUUAGUCAAUUGCUGUACUCUCACUAUUCUUUUUCUAUUUUGGUUUUGCCAAAAUGAUUAAUCUCACUCUCAGGUCCUUCUGGGAAACAAACUAUUGAGUAUAAGAAUCAACUAUAUUAAUUUUAAUUCAUAUUUUAGCUAAGUACAUUAUCAAAAAGCUCAUCUAAUUUUAUUCUUCAAAUUUAUAUUGUUUUAAUCAAAUUCUUUUCUCACCAAGUUUAACUUCCUUCAGUUUUUUCAAUAAUUUAGUUAUGGUACUUCUCUUUCUUUAAGAGUGAUGAUAUUAAAAGAAAUAUAUAAAAUUAUUUUAAGAGGGAGAAGUCGCAAUUUAAUAUUGAAGGGAGAGAAUGAUAAUUACGUUUGAAUAAUAUAAUUCAAAGAGCCACUUGGAACCUAUUUUUGCUCAAGUAAAAUCUCAUUUAAAAAGUUUUUUUAGUAAUUGUCUUAAGGAAUUGUGAGCAAGUUCUAAAACAGCAGUAAAAAUGAAAUAGGUUGAAACGCUUACCUAAAUCUGAAGUCGGAACUCUAAUAAAAAUAUCCUGCCCCCAUAAGUAUUUUUCCGAACACUCUCUGGUAUCGAUCAGGUCCCCAAACCACAUCAAACAGCCGUUACCUCCUCCAACAACUUGUGAAUUUGCAUAAGCUCUGCAUGAACAGUUCUUCGUGCACUCUGCCUCGCAUUCCCUGAGACUCAUACUUUGGUUCGACCAAUAAUUUUCAGGUAGCUUCAUUUUAGGAAGCUUUAGAAAUCCUUCGCCACCCGGGCAAUCUGAUGGUUUCCUGACACAACUCCUAGAGUCUGGCGAAUCCCAGUCUUCUUGCGAUUUGGAUAUAAACCCCGUCAAGCACUCACAAGAAGGUGUCUCGCUAACUCUGCAGUUGCUAUUAGCUCCACACUCCGCAUAGUUGUCACAAUGGUCAAAUGGCCAAGAGUACAACUUAUGCCAUUUGGAGGUCGUCUCAUCCCAUACAAAACGGUGGUAUGUUCCAUUGUUCUCCAGUUGUAAUCUUGUGGUGACUGUGUCGUUGAUGGGCUUAAAUUUGUAAUAUACCUCAUCUUCUUUGUGCUCCACUAUUAGUUUGAAGACCGAGUCUUUCAUCCAGGGAAUGCCUUCGAACGUUUGACCAUUCCAUGGUCCACUUCGAGCAUGUUUUCUUGAUCCCAUGAAGGUUACCAAUUCAGGAACCGCUGUACUAUUGUCCAACCGGAAACUGACGUCUCCGGGGGUUGGAUCGUCGGCACUUCUCCAUGGUGUCAAAUAUCGCUCAAAACCAGUUUUUAAGUUCCAUCCCAGCUUCAUCUCUGGUAACAACGUGUCUGAUGGAUAAUCAAAGCUCUGCCACACGUACUCAUCAGAACUUCUGCCGACGUUGCUUCUCAGAACAAGAUUUCCAGAAUCUAGGAGCUGCGCCACUGGAUUUUGUAGCACUCUUGACGAAUUUGAAGACCAGAUGGAGCGCUUUUCUUGGUUGAGAAGCAAAAGGCUUCCGUUGUUGCUCAGAGUUAAAACUCCACUCUUGUCAGUAAUGGCGUUAUUUCGGUUUGCGACCCAUGCGACAGUGCUUGGACUUUUCUUGUACCAUAUUCCAAGAUACCUGUUGCUCGAAUUGCCUGGAGAGAAGAAGCCUAGCUCAAAACUUUGGAAAGAGGAGACUAACGUCUCACCAUCAGUGAUGGAUUCUCCUCGAGCAAUGGAAUCAGCUGCAAAUGAGAACUCAAUGAUUAAUAUGAAGGAAAAAAGGCUAAAGAAAUCGAAGGCUGGAAGGCACUUCAUUUCGGUUUCUGAGAUUAAAAAAAAUACUAAUCAUGCUGCGCCACAAGAUUCUACAAAUAUUGUGUAUUGGAAUGAGAAUCCUGGGUUCCCCAUGAAAUUGAGAAUAAAGAAUAGGAACUUAAUUCGCACGGGUUGACAAUUAAUUUCUAGUUCCUUAAAUUUACAAUUUUAUACAACUUAAAUUUAAUAAUUUCACUUUUGUACUCAAAUAUAUUAUUAUUAUUGUUGUUGUUGUUAUUAAUAUAUAAUAAGAAGAAGAAGAAGAUUAAAUCAUCAUCAUCAUCAUCAUCAUAUUAUGAUGACAUCAUCAUCAGUAUUAUUAUUAUUUUCAUCUUGUUAUUAUUGUUGUUAUUUAAUUAGUUAAUUAUUAUUGUUGUUAACAAUAAUUUUUUAAAUAAUAAUAAUCACAAUUAUUAUAAUAAAAUUUAUAUAUAAUUAACUAAAAACACUUUAGCAACUUAAAACAAUUCAUUUUAAUUCUAAUAUAAAGUGAACACAUCAAGAGAAAUACAAACCAUUUCAAUUUUAAUUCGUCUAGCUUAAGUAAACAACUUAUUAUCGUCCGAUUCUAAACUUGGUUGAAUAUCUUUUCAAGAAUAUGCGGAUUGAAAUCACUUAUCUUUUUGGGAAAUUGGAGGACUAUAAUUUCCUCUCAACAUCAGCCAACGGUGGAGAAUUAUAGCAUGAUAGAGAAUUGGUCAUAUUAUUUUGUAACACGACGUGUUUCCAUUGACGUUAAGAGUUAAGAUAGCUUUGCACAUUGUUGCUUUUUUGUGAAAAUUUUUUUUUAAUAAUAUGUAAUGUGUGUGUGUGUGUUGUUUACAGCGAAUUCAAUGGGCGUAGUUUUUUACAUUUGAACGAUUUGAGAUAAUUCAUUCAAGUAAGUUAUUGGUUAUUAAAAAUGCUGAAGAAGGAAUGGCUUAAAGCCUUAAACUAAUCCCGAAGGAUAUGUCAGUUAGCUUUACUCAAAGCGUUAGAUUCAUCUAGGAUUGGGUGUAAUAUAUAUAAGUGAAAAAUAAAAGAUAUGACUUUCCCUAUAAGAUAUUCUACAUGGAAUUUACUUGUGGCCCGUGGUCAAAGACGGUUGAAUAAACUUAAUUUGCUAAAAUUUAAUUAAAAUUGAAGAAGGGAAUUUCUAACCACAUGUCUGUUGGGCCAUUAUUGACUAAAUAAUCGAUGGUCAAGUUGAAAAGGUCAUGCAAUUUUUGUGAAUUACACAGAAAAAUUUAUGGAAGCCGUGUUUUCUUAGGAAAAAAAAAUUAUCAACAAUUUUGGUAUACCACAUGUGAACAAUAAGAAAUUCUAUACUACAUUAAAAGUGUUACACUUAAUUAAUGCAUGUAUGUUAUGGUAUUGCAUAACCCAUGAAGGAGUUGAGUUUAUGCCGGAUUGCAUUACAUCUUAAAAGCAAAAAAUAAAAAGGAAUUUUCAUCUUCUCUUCUUUCUUCCAAAUGCAUCAUGCAAUUUCUUUGUUUCCUCUCUUCCAAAUGCACGGCAGCCUCAAUCACUUCAUGGAUGAAGACGACUCUUAGUAGAUGACUAUUACACGCCUGACGAGCGUCGCUCUUUAUGGUCGGGCGAGCUAAACGCACGGCAGCCUUGGUCCACCACCAUGCCAUCAUGAUUUGCCGCGCAACAUUGUAGCUCCACCACCACUUCUCUACACGACAAUGCAGCUCCACCACAACCUCGGUUAUGGCUUAUGGCUCCCCCACCGUCGAGUCUACCCUUCGCCAUAUUAAUCACCAAGAUGAAAAUUUGAUUUUUUUAAUUUGAGUUUGAUUUUUAAUUUAGGAUUUGUUUUUUAAUGAUAGGGUUUCGUAAUGGAAUGAUUUUAUAGAAUGGGUGUUGGCAUUUUUUUUAAUGCCGACAUGCUCUUAAACCGUAGGUUUUUAAAAAAAAUAUUUUUUUAAUGAAUUAUAAAGACGUGCGGUUUAACAGAAUUAAAAUAUUGACUUUAUUAAAUCUCAUAAUUUAAAAGUGUGUCCACAUAGGGUGCCCGCACUAAAGAAUGAUUAUAUCCAUAUAUAUAAAGCUGAGACUAAAGGAGGUGAUGUGGCAUCAUUAUUUCUCAUCUUCUUGUAUUCUCUAUUAUAUAAUAAAUUGGUUGAGAUUAAAAAAUAAGUACGUUACAACAUAUAUAUAUAUAAAGCUGAGACUAAAUGAGGUGAUGUGACAUCACUAUUUCUCAUCUUCUUGUAUUCUCUAUUAUCCAAUAAAUUGGUUGAGAUUAAAAAAAUAAGUACAUUACAAAAUAUUAAAAAUAAAAAAUAAUUAUUAAAUUAUAAAAGAUUACAUGUCUCUUCAUCUUUCUAUUUAAAUUCAAUAAUAUGUAACUAUUAAUAAUAAUUAAUUAUAAGUCUUGAAACAUUCAAUUUAUUUUAUUAUGCUAACAAUUAAACUUUAGUAGCUUCAAUACAUCAAUUAAUUAAUAUAGGAAUGAAGGUUCCUUCAUCUUCCCUCAACAAUGCGAUUAUGGUCUAAUUUUAACGCCAUAAUCUCAUAUUUAAUUAUACAAUCUUUUGUUUAGUGCUUUUUGGCUUCUUCAAACUCUAUAAAUAUUAAGUAGUUAAGAUUUGUGGCAUCAUUAUUUCUCAUCUUUUUAUAUUCUCUAUUAUCUAAUAUAUUAGUUGAGAUUAAAAAAUAAUUACAUUACAAAAUAUUAAAAUAGAAAAUAAUUAUUAGAUUACAAAAGAUUACAUGUCUCUUCCUCUUUCUAUUUAAAUUCAAAAAUAUGUAACCAUUAAUAAUAAUUAAUUAUAAGUUUUGAAACAUUCAAAUAUUUUAUUAAGCCAACAACUAAACUUUAGUGGCUUAAAAUACAUCAACUAAUUAAUAUAGGAAGGAAGAUUCUUUCAUCUUCCCUCACCAAUGUCACUAGAGUCUAAUUUUAAUAAUAUAAUCCCAUAUUUAAUUAUGCAACAUUUUGUUUAGUGUCUUUUGGUUUCUUCAAACUCUAUAAAAUUAAGUAUUUAAGAUUUGUUAUGUUUGAGUUUUUUUAUUAUUUAACCAACAUCCUCUUUAGAAAUAUUCUUGUGUUUUUUUUGACUUAUUUGAAUUUUUAGUAUAGUGUGCUUCAUGGAGUACUAUUUUAUUUUUCUUCAUGAGUUGUACAAUAAUAAAGAUAGUUGGAUGAUAAGGGUCAGACUUUGUAGGAUGUGGAAGUCUGUUAAUAUCAAGAAGAAUGAAUAAUUGAUUAGUAUGAAUAUAAUUUUUAUUGAUGAAAAUGUUGUGUACACUUAACUAUACACAUUAAUUUAUAAAGUUAACAAAAAAAUUAACUUUUAUAAAUAACAUUAGUUUUAUAAGAUUGCAUCAUCUUUAAAAAAAUUUAAUUCAUAUUUUUUUAUUAGUCUCAUAAAGUGUAAAGUAAAAAAAAAAAAGAUGAUACUAAAUUUUUUUUUAGGCAAAUGCUAUGUUACAUGAAAUGUAACAUACACACUUCACAAUAACCACACAAAGUAUGUGGGUCAAUAAUUUGUGUGGUUGUUGUGGAGUGUGUAUGUUACAUUAAAUGUAACAUAGGGGCUCCCUUUUUUUUAAAGCUGCUCAAAGUACGGUUCUAUUGUCUAGUAUAUAUAUAGUUUUAAAACCUGCAGUUUCUAGAACUUUAAAAUUUUGAAUUAAAAAAUUAUAUAUAUAUAUUUGCAACUGUCAAUAAAUCGCAAUCGGUCAAUCGAAAAUUUUUUGGUCCAACAUUCAAAGUGUAAUAAAAUAUUAACAAAGAAAUAAAUGAUAAAACAAAUAAGAUACUUUUCUAAACUCCGAAGACAUUGAAGGCGAGAAGAUGUAGCUGAGGGCAAUUCUCAAGUCCCGGUCUUUUUCAUUUGAAUAUUCGUACAAUUAUUGAUUGAUUGAUCGUUUACCCGUGGGGUUAUUUUUACAUACCUCCCCUGAGGUUUCACCUAAUAUCAGUUUAAUAGAAAGUAUUUCCGUAUUUUUACAUCAUUCCCCUGCAGUUAGUAUUUCCGUCAGUUGACCGUUAGCGGACUAACAAGAGGACGGAAAUACCCUUUCAAGACUGACAGUCUUCUUUCAUCCAACAAAAACUCAAAUCCCCUGUACCACCUCACCAACAAAACCACAUCCUACCCGUCAAAAGUCAUCCAUCCACCCCCGCAAAUCAACGGCCGACGUUUGUACAAUCCUCACAGAGCCAACUGAACCUAAAACUCCACAUAUUAGUCCCUCUCUCUGCCUCCAUCCCCUGCAUAUUUUACUUUCUUUCUUGUAUUGUAAAUUACUAAAUUAAUGCCUUUCUUCUACGGUGAGAUCCCAACUUUCUGGCGAGUUUUCCGAUCGCCGGAGGAUAUUAUGAAGUGCUAAGAUCCCAUAUGUCUUCAUCCAAAGCAUAUGCCAAAAGGAAAAAAAAAUAGAUGAAUAAUGUAUUAUAAAUACUGGAUACUGUAAAUAUUGUUAUCUUUUUUUUUUUUAAUGGGUGAUUUGAGAAGCUCGAAAAAUUUUGAUCUUGAAAGAUGAACAUGAGAGCAGUGGAAGAGGAAGAAUUGGUUUCGGUAUCGGGUCAGGAACUCGAUAUACCGGCCGAUAUAGAGUGGCAAAUGUUAGACAAAUGGAAGUUUUUCUUGUGUGAAAACAUGUGUUUCAGUGGCGAGACACGAGGGUUUCAGGGCUUUGUACAGGGGAUUCGGGACUUCACUGAUGGGCACAAUCCCUGCUAGGGCGGUUUACAUGGCGGUGCUUGAGGUGACAAAGAGUAAAGUUGGCAGCUUUGCUGUUAGUGACUUAGGGUUUACUGCGGCUGCAGCGGUGGCGGUCGCUAGUGCUAUUGGUGGAUUGAGUGCUGCCAUGGCUGCUCAGCUUGUCUGGACCCUAGUUGAUGUUGUGACUCAGAGGCUUAUGGUGGCUAAUGGGGCCAAUGCUAGAUACAUAAACGGGGUUGAUAUGUUUAAGAAGAUUGUUAGAAAUGAUGGGGUUAGAGGAUUGUAUAGGGGUUUCAGGAUUUCAAUCUUGACAAAUGCACCAUCAAAUGCAGUUUGGUGGGCAUCUUAUUCUGUUGCUCAAAGGCUUGUUUGGAGUGGAGUUGGGUGUUUCUUGCGCAGGAAAUAUGAUGACCGUGAGGGUGAUAUGAUGAUGAUUAGGCCGGAUUCAAAAACUGUGAUGGCGUUUCAGGGAGUGAGUGCAGCCAUGGCUGGUGGUUUAUCGGCUUUGAUUACGAUGCCACUUGAUACGAUUAAAACGAGGUUGCAGGUUUUGGAUGGGGAUGAGAAUGGAAAGCGGGGACCGACUGUUGGGCAGACAGUGAGGAGCUUGGUUAAAGAAGGUGGUUGGAUGGCUUGUUACAGAGGGUUGGGUCCAAGGUGGGCAUCCAUGUCUAUAUCUGCAACAACUAUGAUUACUACGUACGAGUUUCUGAAACGAACCUCCGCCAAGAAUCUAGAGGUUUUGACAUGAAUGAAUAAGAAUUAGAGUAGGCUGUAAUCCUAGGCUGAUGAUAUGGAGGCAUGACUACUUGUUUGCAGAUCAAAUCAUCAAUCUUUAUUAAUCCUGUGAAAUUUUCUCGCAUCUUGUCUAUUCUUUAGCCUCCUACUCUUUCUUUCAUAGCCUGCCAAUCAGAUAUAAUCAAGGUAAAUGAUGGCAGGUGUUUUUCCAUGUAAAUGUAAAUGUAAAUAUUUUCCUCUUCUUCCACUUUAUUUGUUUCCUUUUAUUAUUUCUUAAAAUUGUGUCCAAAACUCCUACUAUUUCUUAAUAUAUCAAGUUUUGAGAGCAAAACCAAUAGGGAUCAUCUUUAUCAACAUCAAUCUACCAGAAGUUGAGUUUUUGAGAUUCCAUUAAUUAACAAUGGAUCCCACAGGAUUCCAAAGUAAAAAAUAAUCAUUAUUGAAGUGAUGCUACUCUCAUUUUCGCGAUUACCCAUACUAGUACAGUGAACUUUUUCAGUUUUUUUGAAUUUUAAAUGAGCUUUUACGAUUUUAGCCUUGUGUACUGAUGAUAUACAUAACUUUAUACUAACUGCAGGGGGGAAUGUAAAAAUACGGAGAUACUUUUUAUUAAAUUGAUUUUAGGUGAAACAUCAGGGGAGAUAUGUAAAAAUAACCCUUUACCCGUGUCAUCAUUAUCCAACUUAGAAUUAAAUGUUGGAAUUUUUGAAAUUGAUGGAUGCUGCUAGAUGUGUCUUUCCCAAUUAGCUAAAGUCAAGGCACACCAAAUAGCAUUGACCUAACGUCAAUUCUUCUGGUAGAACAAGUGUUUCCAACCAUUCCAUGAGGAAAUUCCAUGUGAAUAGGCCAAGUCAUCUCAUAAGAGAAAUCAAGUGGCCCCUGAACUCUGGUUCUUAGGUAGGAUGCCUAUUUAUGCUAUGUAUGAUUCAUUCGAUUCUUCUUAUGCUGAUUCGGUGGGUGAUUUAACUGAUCACCUUCUAUGACAUUGUCUUAGUGUAAAAUGGAUCACACGACGUUUAAUUCCUGGAGAAAUUUUAUAAUAAAAUGGCAUAAUAAUUUCAAUCUUUUAUAACUCUCGUCUCAUAGUUCGUCGUAUUAAUUCCAACAUUAAUAUAUGAUUAAACGAUUAUUGUGUAUUUUGAAAUAUUACAAUAAAAUUUCCAACAUUAAAUUUUUUUCUUUUUCAGUUCUCAUUCAAGAAAUGGAUUUAUAUUAGAGUAAUUUUAGAAGUCAAUAAUCGAAUUGAAUAUGCUCUAAUAAAAAUCAAGUCUUCUUAUUUUUAUCGUCAUCAUCCUAGCCGAACCCCAGUGCAAGAAACUCAUAGCUUCUUCGAAAUUAAUGACAGCAAUAUAAAUGAAAUGAAAUGAUAAACACCUACCAUUUAAUUUUUUAAACUGAAUAAAAUUGUAAAAACCAUGGUUCAAACACAAAUGAAAAACAACGAUUUUAACUUUCCUAUAAGCCCAUCCGUGGAGCAUAUCCUCCAGAUGAAGCUUUGAUCGUAUGCAAGAGAACCGACAGCGACUGAUGAUGCUUCCAUCUAUGGGGCAAUAUCGAAUGAAGAUUAAUAUUAAUUAUAAUUAAAUAAGGUAACGGUUGCUUUUUUCUCUGAAAUAUUAAUGAAUCCGAAUUUUUCUAAAAUAUGAAUAGGUAUGAAUAUGAAUAUGUAAAUGACAUAUUUAUUUUUCUUUUUUUAAUAUUUGAAUAUAGUGGCAAAUAAAAAUAUUUUAAACAUUGUUCUUGACAUUUAUGUCCUUGUAAAUAAAAAAAAAGAUUAGAUUUUAUAGUUUAGAAAGUAAGUAUAUUAUAUAGAGAUACUUUUAUAAUAUAAUAUUUACUUCUCAUUUAUAGUUUGUUCCAUUCAGAUAAAAGCAAAAAGUUUAUUUUUUCUAUUUAUAUGUAAAUGUCUAAAACUCGAACAUAAGUUAAAAAAAACAAGUAAAUUUAGAAAAAUCUGAAAUUGAUAAAAUUUUAAACUUCAAAUGUUGAACAAAUAAGUCCUACGUGAUUAAUUAUAAUAUAAGAUAACGCGCAUUGUAAUAAUAAAAUAUUGUACAAUAUGUGUUACAUUAAACAUGAAACAACAUUAAUGUAAUACAAUCUAGUUCAAUCACCAAACAAGAGACAAUAUUAGUGUGUUUACUUCUUUUAUGGCGGAAUUGGAAUGAAGGAAGGAGAAUGAUUUUAUUAUUUACUUGUUUAUUUUGCAUUUGGGAGUAAGAAUGAAGUUAGAGGGAUCCAUCAAAUUUAAGAAUGAGGAAUGUAAAUUCUAUUUUUACAUGGAGGUAAAAUGGGAUUCUCAUUAUUUGAAUUUACAAUUCUAUCCUCCCAUACUUUCUAAAAUUUUAAUUUUGUCUUUAUCACAAAAUCUGAUGAUAAUGAUAACAAUAUCAAUUACUAUAAUAAUAUUAAUUAUAUAAUAAUUAUUACUAUUAUAACAUUUAUAAUAAAAAUAAUUACUAUUACCACUUUAUUAUUAUCAUUAAUAAAAAAAUAGUAAUAAUAAUAAUUAAUUUACUCCAAAUGCUCAAUAUUAUAAUGAACAUUAGGUUGGUAAAACCUAGGCCCAGGUCCGCGAAUCACAAUGUCUGGACCUGACUCGGAUGUAAUUUUUAGAUACCCGAGCUCGGCCUAAAAAGCCCGUCACUGGGCCAGGUUUUUAAUCCAGGAUUUUGUACCUGAAUUUUAUAUUUCUUUUAAUGUUAAACAUGUAUACUUUUUUAGUUUUUUUUGUAAUUUUAUGAAUUUUAAAUUUAUUUAAAUGAAAUUGGACAUUAAAAUAUAAACUUUAAAUGUUUAAAACCUUACAUAUAUGUAAUAAAUGAGUCAAAUAAAUAUAAUUAUUUAAAAUAAUAUAUAUUUUAUAAUUUUUUAAUAAAAUCCGGGCUCCAGGUCAAGUCCCGGGUUUAUCAAGUGAUGCCUGGGGCUAGCUCGGCUUCAUAUUCGGGCAGGGAAUUAUCUUGCCCACAUCGCCUUUUAUUGAUUUUCUAAGUGAAAAACAUAUAAUAUUAACUAAGGGUGUUUUUGUAAAUGAUUUAUUCUGAUUAUAUGAUAAAAAUAAACACAUUAAUUGAAAUAUUGUUUAUUCUGAUUCCUACAGUUUAAGUAUAUAACUUAUUUUUAUUUUCAUUCUUCAUUUUAAUUAUUUCUCAUUCCAAUUCAUGUCUAUUAUGAGUCCCACAAAGUAAAUAUAUCAUAAAUAUAAUUUAAUCAAAUCUUACCCUAUCUUAUUGAGUCUAAUCACAUAUCAAAAGCACCCUAAAUGUGGACUUUAGGUUUUACCAUCUAAUCAUUGAUAUUGACUUCUGAAAAGAUAAAUACACUAUUAGUCUCUAAAACCUAACGCCUAGGUUUUACUCAAAUGUACACAUAGAUCUCUUAAUUUCAAAAAUUAAAAUACAUACCAUAUAUUGACUGUCAUAGCUUUUGAGUUUGGGGGAAAGGUAAUUAAAAAUUUAAUAAUAAAUGCCAAUACAAAUAAAAAGUGGCUUAAGUUUGGAAUCCGGGUUUUAAAAGAAACAUGUAUCAUUAGAUCUAAUCAAUGAUACAUAUUAGCUCUAUUAAUAAAUUUUUUUAAUUAUUUUUAAAAUAAUAUAGUCAGUUAACAAACCGAUCAAAGGGUGAUUUUAAAUUUAAAAAUGAAAAUAAUAAGAGAUAUGAUAAAAUACAACAUCUCAAGUUCUUUUAUUUUAAAUUGAAUUGUUGACAAAUUCUUUUAUUUUAAAUUGAAUUCUUGAAACAACAGGCAAGGAAGCUUCAUUGCAUAAUGUUUAAUGUGUGCAUUUUUUUUUUCCAGACAAAGAUGUUAUAUCCAUAUAUAAUUGAAAUAUAAAGUGGUUUUUGACAGUUAGAGGCUACAAUUAGUCAUGUGUCAUGGUUGCACAGUAAUAAAAGACCUAUUUAAAUGUUUGCAUAAUAGGAGAUUUGCUUUAGUAGUCGAAGAGGAGUAAUGGAUUUGAUUCCAUAGCAAAAAAUAUUUUGUGUCAAUAUCAUUAUCACAGAACCUUAGCAUUUUCUCUCUUAGUUGCUUAAGUAAUUUACUUAUAUAAUACUCUGAAUGCAUCGCUAGAUAUUGAUUGGAUGUAAUUAGUUAAUUUUCUUUAGAUUAAAAAAAUUUAUACUGACAAUUGGUUAUUGUAUUUGCUAAAUGAUAAAGCAUUUUUUAAUUGACGAAAUAUUAUUAAUAAACCGUGGAUGUACAAGUUAGUUAAAUGAAUUGAAACUUUUCAAUUAAUUAAUUAUUUUUUGUCAUUAUAUUAAAUUGUAUUAAAUGAUUGAUUAAAAUUAAAACACUUAAAUUUAAGUGUCCACAACAAUCCUACUAUGAAUAAUUGUAAAAAUACACACAGCACAUGGAUAAAUCCUAAAUGCAAAUACAAAUUAAAAAGGGCUUACGUUUGGAAUAAGGGGUUUUAAAAGAAAUUAUCGCAAUUUUCAAAUGCAUUUUAACGUGCAAACAAAGAAAUGCAGGGUUUUUUUUUUUUUUUCGAUGGGUGUUAAGGGCAGAGCCCUCCAGGUGGAGAAUACGGUCAACUAGUGGGCCUGAUCCAGCCCAUUUCCCAGUCGAAAAUUAAAAACUUUCAGAGGAAGCUUUUGCCGUUUGCUCAAAUUUUGGCGCCUUUCCAAAUCUCUUCCUCCUACUUCCCAUUGAGAGUCUCACUGAGAAAAAUUAACAUCGACCGAGUCCACCCACAACGACGUCGUUGGCAAAGCCCUUCGUCGAACAAAAUGGUGUUCCUUCACCAACAGAAGUCUUCACUCAAAAGAGACUCCUCUUCCUCUUCAAAAAGCACAUUCCCCGUUCCUCCUUCCAAAAUCCCCAAAUCCGUUGAUUCAGAAAUCGAAAAAAUGGUCUCAAUUUUAGCAGAUGCCGGUUGUACUCUAAUGUACCACUCGGGCCCACCAUGUCUCCCUUCUGAUCCUAACAAGUUCCGUCGCCACCUCACCAAUCUCCUCUCUCACGACUCCUCACUUCGCUCCCAUUUCCUCGUCGGCUUCUCUUCUUAUGUUCAGUCUCCCAAAAAUUUCACCAGGUCAAUUACUUUCUCAUUUUGUAUUUUUUUAAAUUAUUUUUUAUUCAAUUGUCUGAUUAAACGACUUCGUUUUGUUUUGAUAUCAGGGUUCUGAGCUCAUUGAGUCCUGGCAGAAGCGACAGCUUAGUUCGACAGCUUUUGCUGGUUCCGUGUAUUCAAUUAGACCUAAUGCACAUGCUUCUCGAGAAACUUCCCGAAUUUUUUGAUGUGAAUCCAGAGACACAGACAUCAUUGUCUUUUGAGGAGGACGUUGGUAGGCUUAUUAUUAGUCAAUUUCGGUGGCUUGAUUUUCUCGUUGAUCCGAAAUCCUUUACCGAGAAAUUAAUGGAAGUACUUUGUAUUUGUCCUUUACAUUUAAAGAAAGAGAUUAUUGGUUCAUUGCCCGAGAUUAUAGGUGAUCAAAGCAAUAAUAAAUCUGUUAUUGAUUCUCUCCAACAAAUGCUCAGUGAAGAUUCAGCUAUAAUUGUGCCUGUGCUUGACUCCUUUUCGAACUUGAAUUUGGAUGAUGAGCUGCAAGAACAGGUUGUUACCAUAGCAUUAUCGUGUAUUAGAACAAUUGAUGCAGAACACAUGCCGUAUUUACUUAGAUUCUUAUUGCUUUCGGCAACACAAUCAAAUGUUCGAAGAAUUAUCUCACACAUUCGUCAGCACUUAAAGUUUGUUGGAGUGUCAAAUUCUCGUGCAUCACAACAAAAUAAACUUAAGGGAAAGUCUCUUGUGGAUAAUUCGGAGGCGUCCAUUCUUGAUGCCUUGAGAUCAAGUCUUCGAUUUAAGAAUGUAAGUCUGUUUGUCUGUCCCAUAUGAUUUUAGAGAGUGUUUGCUCUUAUUUAAUGUAGCCGGUGUACUUGUGCUUUUGCCUCUCUGUGUAGAUGCUUUGUCAGGAGAUUUUAAAAGAAAUUGAUGGUCUUAAGAAACCUCAGGAUCACAAAGUUAUAGACAUAUGGCUUCUUGUGCUCAUGUAUAUGAAUGGGGAACCCCUGCGAAAGAGUGUUUCGAAGAUUUUCAAGAAGAAAGUUAUUGAAGAUUGUAUUCACAAUGUUAUGCUUGAUCAGUGCAUUCAUGGGAACAAAGAAUUGGUGCAGGUAUCUGUGACAAUUAUCUUGCAUGAAGAAAUAUUCACUUUAUAUUUACUGUUUCCUGAAUUGUUAUCAACUUACAUUCAUUCAAGCACUUUUAAAGUUUUCUAUUGAUUUUGUUAGGAUCAUUUUCCAUCAUUUCUUUCUUUGUCUGAGUACUUAUUGGCGUGCAAAGAACAAAAGGCAAGGGAGUUUGGUAUUCAUGUGUAUACUUGCUUGUUUGAAGAGUUUACUGAUACAUAUUCAAGACAGGAGGUAAGCGACCUAAAUUUUUAUUUGUCACCACUGAUGAUUAGAAUACUAGUUGGUGUUUAUGAUAAGUUGAUAUGUGGUUUAUGCAGGUUCUUGGUGCUCUAAUUACGCAUGUGGGAUCUGGUGUGAGUUUUGAAGUUAGUUCUGCUCUGGAGACAAUGGCUCUGCUGGCAUCAGAAUAUGCACGGGAAUUGAUUCCACUUUCUUCUCAUAUAAAUGGUAUCUCAAGUAUCAACCGCCUUUUCUCAUGAAUAAUUAUAAAUUUGGAAGUCAGCUUGACAUGAAAGUCCGAACACUCAGGUAUCUUGGAUUACUUGGAGGGUUAUAGUGCUCAAAAUUUGCACAAGGUGGGUUGAUAUAUUAAGGUAGUAUGGGUUGAAUUUUGUACUUGUAAAUUUCUCUAGCUCUUGUCAUAGCGCAGGUCUAUGAGGUUUUCAGCAGUCUAGCACUGUCAGCUCGAACCAGUGCACCCUGUUACAUGUACCUAAUUUUAAGCACCCCUUAAAAGACCACCAUUAGAUUACAUGUACCUAAUUUUAAGCACCCCUUCCCCACUAUUUACCAAGCACCCUAGCUUUUAGUGACCAGUCAGUCCGAAUACCAAGUUUAUAGGAAAGUCUCGCUUAAUAAUUACUAACUUCUAACAAACUACGUAUCAUGUAAAACCUGAUUUGUUUUAUGGGUUUGUCACGUGGAUCCAAUCAUCCAACUGCAGGUUAUGUAUUGUGGUUUAAUUAAUAGUAGGAGCAAUUUCUCUUGACAUGAACAUACAACUACUUAAACAAAAUAGGCUGCACUACAAUGCUGUAUUAUCAAACUCAUAGAAGUGGGGGAGAAAUGGCAAGAAGGUAUUGGAACAUCCAUUUGGAAGAGAUGAUGGAAGCAGGAAUUCAUUUUCGAAAGAUACAACAAUGUUAUGUAAGUAUAUACAUUUAAGAAGUGUAUUCUUCUAUUCCUUUCAAGAACUACCACUACAGGCAAGAAUGAAUUUACUUACGAAUUGCAGCCAGGAAAAUCAGUGCGAAUGCUUUUUUCUGCAACAACCUAAGUAUAAUACAGCAAUUAGUAAACAAAACAGAAAUACAUACAACAGCUAUAGCAUUCAUAUUAGAUUCAACUUUUAGAUAAAUGCUCUUGGUUUGGUUAUCAAACAUACUCAGUACCAUAUCCUAGCUCUGGCUUUCAUUUUAAAGUAAAGAUUAGAUGGCAAAUUCAUCAGUUACUCAAGAAAGAGAAGAAAAGAUGGAAAGAACCCUUUAAACACUACAUCCACAGUGUCGUCCAGACACAAGAAAUAAUGACCGCUAGUCAAAUGUGUCUCUUACGAAAUAAGAAAUCCACCCAGGAAACAGUUAAAAAGAGACUGAGUGAGGAAGGGAGAUCCCAAGACUACAAGCAGGACCACUGGUCAGGUGUGACUGUCAAAAUAAAAAAAAGAGAUCCACCAGGAAACGAAACAGUUGAAAGAGAGGGAGCAAGCGAGGGAGGAUGCCUAAGCAUUCAGAAUAAAUAACCAGUUUCUUUUUCCUCUUUAUUUUUUUAUUUUUAUUUUUUUUAAGAAACAAAAGAAUUUAUUAAUAAAAAUGGAAACUACCAAAAACAAAAAAUGGAUGAGCAGACCACAAAGACUCUUCUUUAUUCCAAUAUUCCAUGAUAUUUUAACUCAUAUCAAACACAAUAUGGCAGAGAUGAAAAGCAAGAAUCCAAGCUAGAUUAAAAGAAUGUAUAACCUAGAGUAAUAUCCAAAUGCCUCAAUCCCCUUUCACACCUCUACGUGUAUCUUCUCUUCUAUAACCACCUAAACCGCAAGCGAAAUGCCUACCCAAGAAAGAGAAGGAAAACAAGGUAACAAUUGUGUACCUCAAGCCAACUAACAUCAACAAGAGGUUUCUUAGCCACAAUGGCAUCGAGAAGUUCCCCUUUCACUCGCAUGUGAUGCUGAACAAGAAUGUGCGUGCACUCUUGGCAAAACUUACUAGUAAUGAAAGCACCUAUAUUACAAGAAAUUAGUUGUUAACCACAAAUUGCACAAAGCACAUGGCUUCUUAAGCAGGAGCAGAAUCUUCAUUAAAUAUUAGCGAAUACAUAGAGAAAAUUUCCUACUAAGAAAUUGCGUCUCACUAACCUAUUGAUGAAACUUUUUCUUGUAGGGGAGCAUUUACUUGGAAGGAGUCAACAAAGAGUAUGAGUGGAGCAUAACAAAACCUGCAAGAUUAACUAAAAUUUGAAACUACUCAUAACCAACAGAGUUCGACAUAACAGUUAACUAAUACAAGCAUAGGAGUCCUAAAUAAUAAAAAACAAACGAAAAUGCCCAACCCAAGUUCAAGGAAGUUACCUGUAAGUAGCAUUACCGGUUCCAAAUGAAACCAAAUCACCAUCCUUCAAGGUUGCUUCUUUAUUUGGAAAUUCAUGAACUUUUUCCUUCGACCCAAGAUUCUUAUUAAUAAAUGUUCCAUAUUUUGAGCAAUCCUUAAUCCGAACUCUGGUAGUGGAAACCUUAGAAGAUUUGUCUUGAAAGGGGUUCAAAGAAAUCAUUUCAUCAACCAAUAUCUCCGCGUGAACACGCGAAACCCCUUUGUCUUUGUUAAUAAUUAUAUCACAACCUAAAAGAAAUUUAUAAAUUUAGCCAUACAUAAUAUAUCAUAUACUCAACCAUCAGGACAAAUAUCCAAAUACAAUUAAAUAACUAAUACCUUUUCGACCCACUUUGUAAUUCCCUUUGCUGAAAAUGUAGUACUUGUCUUCACCUGUGAACAUAAAACUGAAUUAAAUUAAUUUUAAGUCGGAGUAAGAGCCUAGAAAGAAAAAAAAAUGAUGGAAAAAUGGAAGAGAAAAUUGGGGUAAAUGAUGAAAGGAACCUGGGAGAGGAUCGAUUGGAAAGAGACCCCACACCAUGAUUUCUUAUUUUCGAUGAAACAAAAACUUCUUCAGUGAUUGAAUCACCAUCAAAAGCCAAUGCAAAAUUAUACUCAGCGUUUUACGAUUUGUUUCGCGCCCUCUUCUCCUCUGGCCUCUGGGGUUUAUAAUUAUGCUUUCUUCCCAAACCUGGGCUAUAAACAUAAUUUUAAAAAAAAAAUUGUCAUUUAUAUACAAUUAUUUAUUCAUCUAAUCAUUUUUUAGGAUAUAUUCGUCACCAUGGGCCGAACUUGUAUAAUGAGUGGGCCAAACACCCCAGAGCCCACUUCCACUGCACAGCCCCAAACCGUGAAUAGACCUAUUAACACUCCUGUAGUCUCCAUUUAAACCUUCUUUUCAUGUCGAGACCUACUUUAAUUCUAAAAUUAUCCUUUUCUUUCACUAAUAAAAACUCAUACCUGAUAAAAUAAUAAAAAGGAAUGAUAUAUCAGUAUAAUCAUAUUGAUUAGAAUGUAAAGUGUUCAUGAGAAAAUUAUAUAUAUAUAAGAAAAAUAUUAUUGUGGUUUUGUAAGUAUAAAGAGUGAAACUUACAUAGAGAGAAAAUCUAAGGUUUAAUCAAAUUUAUUUUAUCCAUUGAUGUAUCAUGUAAUUGUGAUUGGAGCAGAGGUUUUAUAGACCCACUCCAAAUCAUAACCAAUGGUCCAGCCCAAUUUGAGUUGUGUCGUCCAAUAAUAGGCUUUCGAAAUGUAUGGUGUUUUUAACACCCCUUAAAAAUUCUCGUAACACCCCCUUCAAAUUUUUAUUUCCUAUGAUACUCCAUUUAAUUUAUAAAACAUAAACCUAUAUAUCAAAAUUAACCAUCCUCCAAUAAAAUUUCACCUUAAAAAAAUAUUUUUUAAUAUUUUUUAUAAAUAAAUAGAGAUGCUAAAAUCUUUAAUUAUAAAUAGAUGAUUAAUAUCUCCAUAACUGAAAAAUCUUAUAAUUAAAAAAAAAUUCAAUUAAAGUUUAAAAUAUUAAUGGGAUUGGUAUAAAAAAAUUUACUAAAAGAAUAUUUAUUUAAGUGUUAAUUUAAUCCCCUCAAUUUAUCUCACCAUCCCCCACAUUUCAAUUAAUUUUUUUUUAGAAUUGUUCUUAUUGAAAAUAAAAAAUAAAAAAAUAAAUUUUUAAUAAGAAUAAUUAUAAAGAGUAAGAAAAUAAAUUAAAAAGUGGGUGCGAUGAUAUAAUUUGAGGAGGUCAAAUAUUCUUAUACUUAUUUUAAUGCGUCGGGUCGGAUCGGGUGAAAUUUUUCUGGGCGAAUUUCUUUAUGUUGAAACGUUUGAUUCUUGAGUGAGCUUACAGUUUACACAGAGCUCGGGUUAGCAGCCCGUACGAUCGGGACUUUAGGAGGGCUGUUUUUUGGGUUUGAUGGAAUCGAAGAAUUAUGUAAUGGUUGAUGUAAGUAAAGUCCAACCGUGAGGGUACCUCUGACGCCCAAAUACACAUCAUUAUUUUUCAUAUUCUUAGGUAAACUGUUUCAUAUGAAAUCGGAAGGUAAUGCUCCUUUAAAAUAAUAAUUGUUCAUUUAUAGUUCUUUAGUCAAAAACUUGAUCAUCUGAAUUCUCUUCAUAAAAAUUACGUAAGUUUUUUUUUUUUAAUUUUCCGUUCCAACUUAAUACAACUUAAUUACCAAUGGACACUUGAAUUGUUUACUCUUAAAAAUUUUCACAUUUAGAAUAACAAUCAUAUUGCUAUUAAAUAAAAUUAUAACUACUUAAAAAUCACUAGCCACUUUUAUUGAGAUAGAUUUAUAAUAUCAAAUUCUACUCUUGCCUGCCAUUAUAAUGAAUGAAAUUUCAAUAAUACUCGUGGCGGGCCAUUAUUUUUUUUUUUAAAUGUAUUUUACUCCCCUUCUAAAAGAGUAAAAUAAAAAAAAAAUUAGACAGUUUUUUUUACAUAAUAAAAUACUUGUAAUUUAGUUAUAAGAGUGCUUUUUAGUUACUUUGGAGACUUGGUUCAAAUCUCAAUAGCGAUAUAAUUUUACUUCUUUAGAUAUUUAGUUCUCAAAAACUUAAAUUCUAUUAUUUUCUCUUAAAUUUAAAAAAAUAAUAUUAAUAAAUUAUUUAUUUUUAAAUAUUGGACCUCAUUAUGAACAUUAAAAUAAAAAAUUUUAAACUAAACCUCCCUAAUUUAAGUAUCUAAACUCAUUAUAUUAUUUUUAAAUAUUAUUAUUAUUAUUAGUAUGCUGUUACAUUAUCAUAAUAUUAUUAUUUGAUAAUUCAUCAUUAAUGAUCACCUUAACAACUACCGAAGUGAAAAUAGUAGGGUCCAAAAACAUCCAAUUAAUGAAGCAUGAAUGUCCAAGAAAACAUCAAUUUUAAUUUCAGAUUGAUGUUGCGUCCAAGUUUGUCGUUUUGACUUUUGAUUGCAAUUUGCAAAACUUUUUUUUUGUCACUUUCAGUUUUUAUUAUAUGGAUCCAACUAUAUUAAAAUGGUGGUACUACACCACUUUUUUUUUUCUUUAUUUCUGUGACAACACUGGUUUAACAUAACUGAACUUGUAUUAUACUUUUCUUUUUUUGAUAACUAUCAAAAUUAUGAAAAUUUUACACUAAGACAUUAGAUUCUUUCAUGAUCUGAAUUUAUUUGAGUUUUAAAAAAUUUUCAGUAUUUUUAUUUAUUUAUAGUCAACAUUUACUUCUUUAUUUUGUAAUAACUAAUAAGUACCAAUCUUCUUGUAUGUGUACAUUUUUAUCCAUGUAUGAUUAAUAUUUACUUCUUUAUUUUAUUUAUAUUUAAUAACUAUCAAUUACAUGAAUGCAUUUAUUUAGAUAAAAACUCAAAUUAUGAAGGAAUCCUAAUCUGACAUGUUCACCUCAAACUUAUAAGAUUUCUCUGUUAAGAAUUGAUAACGACGUUAUUGUUUACCCUUUGAUUUAAGCAUUUUAAUAUCUACAAUUCAUUUAACUUAGUAAAUAAAAAUUAAUUAAUUUAAAACUAAUAAAUAAACUUUAGGUUGCAAGUAAAUGUAAAUGUAAAUGUAAUUUUUAUUUUUAAUUAAUUGAUAAAAGAAAAAUUUCUAUGAUAUUGGGAUAAAAAUCCUACAAUUAAUAACGAGAUUAUUAUCAAUCAUUGGAUUUAAAUAGUAGAAUCUUCACCCAUAAUUUAAUUUUAAUGGAUAAGUAAUUAUGUAACAAGUAAUUUACAAGUUGUAUUUUUUCAUACUUUAAAUUAUUUUUAUCUAAUCAACUGAUAGAUAUUUUCAAGUCGCCAAAAAAUAAAAAAAUACAAACAAUUUUGAAAUUAAAAUGUUAUGUACUGUGUGUAGUUUUACAAUUUUACAUUUUUUUCUUUUACAUUUAGUACUAGAAAUGUAAUGACAUUGACAUAAAUGUAAUUAGCUGGUAAAAUUAUUUCAAUAAUACUUAUAUAAAGAUAUUACAUAAGGACUUAUAUAAUAAUUUAUAUUGUAUGAAUUAAAUUACAAUACCAUUAGUACUUGAACAAUAAUGAUCAUAGAAGGCAAUUUAAUAAAUUAUUUGAUAUAUAAUAUUAAUGACACUGUACGAGUCUAACAACAAAUGAGAAAUACUUUUAUCAACAACUAUAAUUGAAAAAUAUAUGUAUGCAUAUGACAACAUGAUGACUUGAAUAAAUAUUUUUAGAGUUAAGUUAUUUGAACUUUAAUUUUUGACACAAAGCUGAAAUUAUUGAUUUCAUGCAAUUUAAUUGAUGUGGAUGAUUUAACAUCAUAAAAUGGCUUUCAAUAUAAACCAUUAGAUUGUGAAAGAUUAAUAGCUCGUAUUUUGGGUCAAAAUUUAAGUUAAGAAAUCCCAAACCAUGAUUUUAUAAUGAAAAUAUAAAAAUAAAUGCAUUAUUUUUUUCCAUUAAGUUCCGUGAAUAUUGAUGGAGAUAAUAUUUUAUUUAUUAUCACCAUCAAUUACCACUAUAAAAGUAAUGAGUCUUAGUGACAUAAAUUUUUUUAACCACAAUUACUGAAUAUCAGCAAAAUAAACUUUAAUGAUUCAUAAACUAAAGUUAAUUUAGAAAAUAUGUUAGAUUUAACUUUUAUGAAAUCAACAAAGUGAUAUUGGAAAAUAAAAUCAAAAUAGACUUGUGAAACUAAAUUUUUUUACGAGUCAUGGAUAGUCUCCAACCAUGUAAGAUUAUUGAUUGUAACAUAAACCAUAAUUUUAUGGCAUAGGUAAGCUCUAUGGGUGUUAAAAAUAAUAUACAGUUCAUGAUCAAUUAUACAAUGAUCCUUAAUGGUAUAUAAAAUAGUGGGUGUUUUAAUAUAUUAUAUUAAAUUCCAUUAAAAUUUGUGUGAUCAAAUAUUUUUUAUGUUACAAACAAUCUCAUCCCAUAAUUUUAUUGAUGCAAUUUAUGACAAUCACUUAAAUGUAUAUAUUUAGGUACAUCAUUUAUUGGAGUUGACAUAAUGAAUUUUAUAAUUACAAAUUAUUUAUUUAGUUUGUGUUACAUAAUCUAUUAGAUAUGAUAUUUUUUUUUAAUGGUAAUAAAUUUUGAAACUUUUUUUUAAAGAAAAAUAAUAACAUUACAAAUUUAAAAGAGGAUUAAAAAAUAAUUUUAAAUAAAAUAUAUUAUUUGAGUAAAAUUAUUUUAAACUCUAAGAGCGAUCAAUAUUAUUUUAUAAAAAUUCUCCACUCCUUAAACAAUUUGAUUAUCUAUUUUUUCCUUAAAUAUAAAUUUUUUGUACUAUUUAAUUAAAUUCAAUGGUCUACACAUUACUAAUGCAGUAAAAGGAAAAAAAAAAUUACAGCCCCAUGAAAGAGGAACCUAUGCUCCAAGUUGUGUAAGUGAAAAACAAGAAUGGGACAUAACAAAUCACAUGCGCAAAUCAAACUUCAUACCAAACAUACCGACACAUGACAUAGGCCCAAAUUAUUAUCACAUCCCGAGUCAAAUCGGUGGCUCUACAUCCGACUCACUUUCGAUUUGCCCAUCGCCUUCGCCAUCUCUCUUAAUUCAAACUUCUUAAUCUUCCCCGUCGAAGUCUUCGGCAACUCCUCCUUGAACACCACCGUUUUAGGCACC